RNAcentral lists this transfer RNA (71 nucleotides) under Clytia hemisphaerica. RNAcentral's name for it is "tRNA-Lys for anticodon CUU". It matches the Rfam family "tRNA". Rfam says of the family: Transfer RNA (tRNA) molecules are approximately 80 nucleotides in length. Their secondary structure includes four short double-helical elements and three loops (D, anti-codon, and T loops). The record is from Rfam by way of RNAcentral. Lineage: Eukaryota; Metazoa; Cnidaria; Hydrozoa; Leptothecata; Clytiidae.
GUCUGGCUAGCUCAGUCGGUAGAGCAUGAGACUCUUAAUCUCAGGGCAUGGGUUCAAGCUCAUGUCGGGCG